UUGCAAGAUAGCUGGAGGUUGCUCACUAUCUGGGCUCCAUGAAGGAAAGAUGUGGGGAGAAGAGACCUUGAUCCUAACACUUGGAACUGCCAGCAAUCACUCACUUAUACAUCUCUUGCUGUUUGUGAAAGAGAGAAAGAAAGAACCAGAGCAUGUGAGUGGGGAUGAGAAAAGGAGAGAGAAUCUAAGGAGGCUCCACACCCAGCAUGGACCCCAACAUGGGCUCGAUGUGGGGGUCCUUCUCACAACCCUGAGAACAUGACCUGAACUGAAAUCAAGAGUUGGUACUUAACCAACCGAGCCACCCAGGCACCCCUAAACAUCUUUCAAUAAGUGAAUGAUUAAGUAAAUUAUGGCAUAUCUAUACAAUGGGUUGCUCUGUAGCCCUAAAAAAUAAGGCUAAUAAGCAUACACUGACCAGGAAAUAUGUUUAUGAUAUAUUAUUUAGGCGAGAGGCCUAAUA
This 463-nucleotide long non-coding RNA is filed under the name Canis lupus familiaris (dog). RNAcentral's name for it is "lncRNA (ENSCAFG00030020939.1)". Lineage: Eukaryota; Metazoa; Chordata; Mammalia; Carnivora; Canidae. The record is from RNAcentral.